This is a long non-coding RNA of Callithrix jacchus (white-tufted-ear marmoset), 1756 nucleotides long. Lineage: Eukaryota; Metazoa; Chordata; Mammalia; Primates; Cebidae. The record is from Ensembl.
GAGUGAGUCUGUGUAUCCCAGCAGACUGGCUCAAAUGUUAGUCUCCUUUGGCAACACCCUCAAAGACACAGCCAGGAUCAAUACUUUGCAGCCUUCAAUCCAAUCAAAUUCUGGAUAUUAACUAUCAUAAUAUGUGAUCUAUCCUGGAGAAUGUUGCAUAUGCAAUAGAGAGGGAUGUGUAUUUACCAGUGGCUGAAUGGAAUGUUCUGUAUAUGCCUGUUAGGUCUAUUUGUUCUACAGUGUAGCUUAUGUUUGGUAUUUUCUUGUCAGUUUUUGUCUGCAUAAUGUGUUUAUUGCUAAAACUGGAGUGUUUAAGCACCCUACUAUUAUUGUAUUGCAGUCAAUCUCUCCUUUUAGAUCUAUUAAAAAUUACCUUGAGAACUGGUAAAGCAUUGUUUCUGGUGUUGUGUUUCCAGAGGAAAACACAACAUGUGAGGGUGUUUCCAGAGGAGAUUGGCAUGUGAGUCAGAGAAUUGAGUGGGGAAAAUUCAUCCUCAAUGUGGGAAAGAAUUAUCUGAUCAGUUGAGGUUUCUAAUAGAACAAAAACAGCAAGGAAAGGGCAAUCUUCUCUCCCAGUACUCCCCUGUCACAUAGACCUCUCUGCCCCACUUUCCUGUCCUCCUGGAUCUGGGACAUCCUUCUUUCUUUGCACAUCAGAACUGCAGGUUUGCCUGCUUUUGAACUCCAGGACUUACAUCAACAUCACCCACUAUCUGAGAUUCUCAGGCCUUUGGCCUCAGACUGAGAAGUAAUCAUCAGCUUCCCCAGUCCUGAGGCUUUUGACAUUGAACUAAGCCAUGAUAGAACAACUCCCAGGGCCUUUAGCAUGCAGAUGGACUGUCAUGGGACCUCUCACCCUCUAUAAUUGUAUGAACCAAUCUCCAUAAUAAAUCACCUUCUGUCUGUCUGUCUGCCUGUCUCUCUCUCUCUCCUCUUAGUCCUGCCUGUUGGAAAAACCUAAUACACAUGGGUUUAAUUACAAAGGUCUAUGCUUUAUGCAAUAUUACUAAGCUGUUUACUUUUUGUUUUGUGGAUUUUGAUUUUUGUGUUUUAUAUUGUAUAAUUGAGAUGGUUAAAUUUAAUUACUAUGAUUAGUAUCUUAAUGAUUGAACUAUGCAUCAGAUGGGCUGGGCAUAACUCAUUUUCAGUAAGCCAGAAAAUAUAUUUGAUAUGAAAUUACCUUGAAUGCCAAAGACCAAGACUCCACAACCAAUAAAAUAUAUUUUAAAGGAUUUAAAAAUAAUGGAAAAUGAGUAAUAAGUUCUAACAUAUAUCUAAUUUGUUUACUAGUAGUAAGAGACAGAAUGAAAUGAUGAGCUAAGAAAAUAAUACAUUUUGGCACAUUUAAAUCAGUAUUGUCUUUUUAAAAUAAAAAUGAUUUGUGUUUCUCUAAUGACCAGUGAUGAUGAGAGUAUUUUUUCCAUAUUUUUGUUGGCCGAAAAAUGUCUUCUUUUGAAAAGUGUCUGUUCAUAUUCUCCACCCAUUUUUUGAUGCAUUUGUUUGUUUGUUUGUUUUUGUAAAUUUGUUUAAGCUCUUUGUAGAUUCUGGAUAUUAGCUUUUUGUCAGAUGGGUAGAUUGUCAAAAAAUUUUCUCAUUCUUUUGGUUGCUGGUUCACUCUAAUGAUUGUUUCCUUUGCUGUGAAGAAGCUCUUAGGUUUAAUUAGACCCAUUUUAUCUAUUUUGGCUUUUGUUGACAUUGCUUUUGGCAUUUUAGUCAUGAAGUCGUUGCCUAUGCCUAUGUCCUGAAUGGUAUUGCC